UCUAACUGGCCAAUCAACUCUAGCCUUUUUCUUAGGCCUCCCAGCUAAACUUGAGGGCUCCCAAACCCUCUUACUCCUACCCCUAUCCAUCUCACAAUUCUGGGGCUCAGCGCCCUUCACCUCCUUGGUGAUUUUCACCUUUUCCACCAACACAGCAAAUCUCGCUCCCUCUAUGGAGCAAUCAAAACUCGUCGAUCAUCUCUAAGGCCAUCCUCAAAGUGAACACAGCGUUCGUAUCCUGUUGUCGCCAUCCC
This 254-nucleotide long non-coding RNA is filed under the name Gossypium barbadense (sea-island cotton). RNAcentral describes it as "long non-coding RNA (GBAR_LNC002331)". The record is from RNAcentral. Lineage: Eukaryota; Viridiplantae; Streptophyta; Magnoliopsida; Malvales; Malvaceae.